Molecule: ribosomal RNA, 476 nt
Filed under: uncultured organism
Description: partial 16S ribosomal RNA
Rfam family: Bacterial small subunit ribosomal RNA
Source: RNAcentral
ACACUCCUGCGGGAGGCAGCAGUGGGGAAUUUUGGACAAUGGGCGAAAGCCUGAUCCAGCAAUGCCGCGUGAGUGAAGAAGGCCUUCGGGUUGUAAAGCUCUUUUGUCAGGGAAGAAACGGUGAAAGCUAAUAUCUUUUGCUAAUGACGGUACCUGAAGAAUAAGCACCGGCUAACUACGUGCCAGCAGCCGCGGUAAUACGUAGGGUGCAAGCGUUAAUCGGAAUUACUGGGCGUAAAGCGUGCGCAGGCGGUUUUGUAAGUCUGAUGUGAAAUCCCCGGGCUCAACCUGGGAAUUGCAUUGGAGACUGCAAGGCUAGAAUCUGGCAGAGGGGGGUAGAAUUCCACGUGUAGCAGUGAAAUGCGUAGAUAUGUGGAGGAACACCGAUGGCGAAGGCAGCCCCCUGGGUCAAGAUUGACGAUCAUGCACGAAAGCGUGGGGAGCAAACAGGAUUAGAAACCCGUGUAGUCCCAUGA